This is a small nuclear RNA of Mesocricetus auratus (golden hamster), 107 nucleotides long. NCBI's taxonomy places the organism in Eukaryota, Metazoa, Chordata, Mammalia, Rodentia, Cricetidae. The record is from Ensembl.
GUGCUCACUUCAGCAGCACAUACACUAAAAUUGUAAUAAUACAGAGCAGAUUAGCGUGGCCCCUGGGCAAGGAUGACACGCAAAGUCAUGAAGCUUUCCAUAUUUUU